This 465-nucleotide ribosomal RNA is filed under the name uncultured bacterium. RNAcentral's name for it is "partial 16S ribosomal RNA". It matches the Rfam family "Bacterial small subunit ribosomal RNA", at positions 28 to 507 of the family's 1533-position model. The record is from RNAcentral.
GACGAACGCUGGCGGCGUGCUUAACACAUGCAAGUCGAACGGAAAGGCCCCUUUGGGGGUACUCGAGUGGCGAACGGGUGCGUAACACGUGAGUAACCUGCCCUUGCCUUCGGGAUAACUUCAGGAAACUGGGGCUAAUACCGGAUAGGAAUCCUUGCUGCAUGGUGGGGGUUGGAAAGCUUCGGCGGUUUUGGAUGGACUCGCGGCUUAUCAGCUUGUUGGUGGGGUAGUGGCUUACCAAGGCUUUGACGGGUAGCCGGCCUGAGAGGGCGACCGGCCACAUUGGGACUGAGAUACGACACAGACUGCUACGGGAGGCAGAAGUGGGGAAUAUUGCACAAUGGGCGGAAGCCUGAUGCAGCAACGCCGCGUGCGGGAUGACGGCCUUAGGGUUGUAAACCGCUUUCAGCAGGGGCGAAGCUUGUGGUGACGGUACCUGCAGAAGAAGCACCGGCUAACUACGUG